GAAGAAGAGAACUUUAAAGUGUUUAUAUUGUGAAACACACUUCCACAUGGAUAAGAGAGGCAAGAAAAUAAAGAUGUCUCGCGCCGUCGUCGUCGCUCGCUCGACUUUGGAUUUGGAUUUGGAUUUGGAAAAUGAUCGAUCUAUGAGAUCUAUCUUUUUGGACAAACUUUAUUUGAAUUUCGAACAAUGCCAAGAGAAAACGCAGUAAAUAUUUUCUGUGUUUAAUCCUCCAUUUACGUAUGUAUAUAUGUUUGCAGUAACAAUGACGCAGGAACUGAUGCUACUAUUUUGCAUGAACAGUGACGCAGAACGGUUGCAUUGCUUCGGAAAUGUUGCAUUGCUUCAGAACUGAUGGACUGUUUUCUGCUUUUUAACUGAACUGAUGCACUGGUUGAACAAACAGAUGCAACCAUUUAGCAAAAGACACAUUGAUUCAUGGAAAGAUAUGACUGUUCAGGAAAGGAUGCAAUCUUUGAAGAACAGAUAUGAACUUACAGCAAAGGUGCAACCUUUGGAGUGAACCAUUGCCUCCUUUCUAAAGAGGCAUCUUGUGGCUAUAAAUAACCUGGUUUUCAUCCACAGGUUUGAAAUAGAAAUUACAGAAAUUUCAGAUUAUAAACUUUUCUUCUUAUCUUGAAAAAACUAUUAUGUGUGAUCAUUAAAUCGUUCAGUGCGUUCGUAGAAUCCGCCUAUUUAAGGUACUGCUAUAGUCGGAUUGAAGGCCAUUUUAUCCUGGGAGAAAAAAUUCCACAACCUCGGGUACAGUAAGGGGAAUUAUUUCCUUAAGGAAACUCUGUGAAUUCGAUGACUUGGCCUUAUUUAUUUCUACUUCAUCUAUUAUUUCUGAAAAAAUAAAUACACCUCUUGGAAAGAUCAUUUUGAUCUUAUGUUGAGAGUAUUGAUAUACUCCAUUGUGUUCUUGUUUAUAAACUUGAACUGGAUGAAGUUCUUGUUCUGUUAUAUAGAUUCUGCAUACAAGAAUAUAUUGUGGAAAUAAUAGCUGAUAGAUCCAUCAUUAACAUGCAGGUAUCCAUCUCUGCGGUGCACAGGUGAUCCUUAUGUGCCUUGAUUUAAUGCUUUUCAUUUUGGUUACUAUAUCUGCAUCCUUUCAGUGAAGCGCAAACCCAGUCUGCUCAAAGUUCACUACAACAGUAUUAAGAAGCUGGGAUAAGCUGACGGACUAAUAAAAAAUCAAGCGCAAGAAUAUUCAGAAGAUAUGGUGUGGCACAAGACAGCUCUGAGCAAAUAUCGCCUGAUAGAUUCUCUUUAAACCGAGGAAAAAAAUAGGUUCUUUGGGAUUUCAGAUGAGGAUUUUCCAAGGCAUGAGGGACCAUUUGCUGAGUCAAUACCUAUUAAGGAAAAAAGGAGAAAUUGAACAAUCAGUUGUUAGAUUUCCGACAAGAACGACCAAAGUGAUGAUGGUGAUGAGGCCGAACGAUGGAAGGGGCGGUUAGCCAAGAUGCUAUGAUGGUGCGGAC
This is an RNA transcript of Capsicum annuum, 1478 nucleotides long. RefSeq lists it as uncharacterized. The transcript is spliced from 4 exons. The record is from RefSeq and is a predicted model, not a curated record. NCBI's taxonomy places the organism in Eukaryota, Viridiplantae, Streptophyta, Magnoliopsida, Solanales, Solanaceae.